AUGAACGCUGGCGGCGUGCCUAAUACAUGCAAGUCGCGCGAACAGACGAGGAGCUUGCUCCUUUGACGUUAGCGGCGGACGGGUGAGUAACACGUAGGUAACCUACCUAUAAGACUGGGAUAACUUCGGGAAACCGGAGCUAAUACCGGAUAAUAUUUCGAACCGCAUGGUUCGAUAGUGAAAGAUGGCUUUGCUAUCACUUAUAGAUGGACCUGCGCCGUAUUAGCUAGUUGGUAAGGUAACGGCUUACCAAGGCAACGAUACGUAGCCGACCUGAGAGGGUGAUCGGCCACACUGGAACUGAGACACGGUCCAGACUCCUACGGGAGGCAGCAGUAGGGAAUCUUCCGCAAUGGGCGAAAGCCUGACGGAGCAACGCCGCGUGAGUGAUGAAGGUCUUCGGAUCGUAAAACUCUGUUAUUAGGGAAGAACAAACGUGUAAGUAACUGUGCACGUCUUGACGGUACCUAAUCAGAAAGCCACGGCUAACUACGUG
RNAcentral lists this ribosomal RNA (496 nucleotides) under uncultured bacterium. RNAcentral's name for it is "partial 16S ribosomal RNA". It matches the Rfam family "Bacterial small subunit ribosomal RNA", at positions 29 to 507 of the family's 1533-position model. The record is from RNAcentral.